RNA transcript from Gastrolobium bilobum, 5208 nucleotides. RefSeq lists it as uncharacterized. The transcript is spliced from 3 exons. NCBI's taxonomy places the organism in Eukaryota, Viridiplantae, Streptophyta, Magnoliopsida, Fabales, Fabaceae. The record is from RefSeq and is a predicted model, not a curated record.
ACUGUCUUUCUCUUGUGUCGCCCUCGCUCUGCUUCCUUCUAUUUUUUUAAUCUCAUAUAAUUCAAUCUUUCAAAACCCUACAAUCGUUUCCCAAGCUCGGCCUUCUUCACCCAAACAACAUAAUCAAUUCAAAGAGAGGGAUUAGCUAUUAAAUCUAUCCAGGAUCUCCGGAUGAUUGAUUUCGCUGCUGGGUUUUGGAAAGAUGCAGAUGUUGUUGAAUUAAUGUGCACUUACAACAGCUGAUAAACUCAACAUCAGUUUAAUCUUCUAUUAUCUUAGAUGGAUCGACAUGACACUUCAGGAUUUGUCAGCGGGGGGUGUGUUAUAUUCUUGUAGAUGCAUCUAACCCUAAUUUUGGAGAUAUACAACUCUUUUUUAUGUGGAAGUCAGCCGGCUGUUCUGUUGAGAUUUAUAGAUAGGUUUAGAUUGUUACUGCUAUUGUUUCAUGGACGCAAUGUUCCAGAACUUGACUUUCGCAGCUAAUCAUUCUGCAAAUGCAUUCAAGAUUUUGGGCAAAUCUAUGCAAGUUGAAGGAAGAGGAGCCGAUUAUAGUACAGAUACUAUCUUACGACUUGAUUCCCCUGGUUCUUCAAUUUCCUAUAUGCUCUCCUCUAAGGGAACAAAAAGGAAGUGGGAUUUAAUUGAUGGAUGCAUUGGUAAGAGAGAUGGCUCUUCUUUGUCUCUUGGGCUUGGAUGUUCAACAAGUUCCUCAGACAGCAAGGGGAGUUCAGCUACUGCUUGUACUGCUAUGUCUUCAGCCAAAGAGAUUGAUGAGGAAUCGUCUAUGGAUAUUGAACUGGACUUUACACUUCAUCUUGGCUAUGAGAAGGUACAGUGCCUGAAAAAACCUUCUAGUUCAAAUUUGAAGACAUUUGAGUCGAAGCCCAAGGUUGAUUUGGAGUUGAGCCUUUCCAAUGGGCCCUCUGAAUCUGAUAUUACUAGUGUUCAUCUAAGUCCCUCCCAGGACUCACCUCUUCAAUUGAACACGGAGAUACCAUUAGUAUUCAGCAGGACACCAAAUACAGAUGAGGGAUCAACUUCAUGUGGUUGGAGAUCAGGGCCUGUUUUCCCAUUGUUAAGGACUGCACUUAAUACAAACACUGGUGUUAUGUUAAACCAGGCUGCCAAAAAGUUUGAUCAUAAUCCCGUUGUUCUGGAUCUCCCAUCAACCAGAUCAAAAAGUUCAGUCACCUGUACUUCUGCGCUAACACAACAGCAACAACCACCACAUCGCAACAGUAAUUCUAAGACAUGUCAAAUUGAGGGCUGUGGAAAGGGAGCCAGAGGUGCUUCUGGACGUUGUAUAUCUCAUGGUGGUGGUCGGAGGUGUCAGAAGCAUGACUGCCAUAAAGGAGCUGAAGGUCGGACUGUGUACUGCAAGGCUCAUGGAGGUGGCAGGCGAUGUGAAUAUCUUGGUUGCACUAAGAGUGCAGAAGGACGUACAGAUUUCUGUAUUGCCCAUGGUGGUGGCCAGAGAUGCAGUCAUGAGGGUUGUAUCCGAGCUGCCAGAGGGAAAUCCGGAUUGUGUAUUCGGCAUGGUGGUGGCAAGAGAUGUCAGAGAGAAAAUUGUACUAAGAGUGCGGAAGGCCUAUCAGGUCUUUGCAUCUCACAUGGUGGGGGGCGUCGAUGUCAAGCUUCUGGAUGCACAAAAGGGGCACAGGGGAGCACCAUGUUCUGCAAAGCACAUGGUGGGGGGAAACGGUGUAUAGCACCAGGGUGCACCAAGGGUGCGGAGGGGACAACGCCCUUUUGCAAGGGCCAUGGUGGAGGAAAACGCUGUGCAUACCAGGGUAGUGGAAUUUGUGCUAAAAGUGUGCAUGGAGGUACCGACUUCUGUGUGGCACAUGGCGGUGGAAAGAGGUGUGUUGUACCUGACUGCACGAAGAGUGCUAGAGGACGGACUAAUUAUUGUGUCCGUCAUGGGGGAGGCAAGAGAUGCAAGUUUGAAGGGUGUGGAAAGAGUGCACAAGGUAGCACUGACUUUUGCAAGGCACAUGGGGGAGGAAAGAGAUGCUCUUGGGGCCAUCCUGGGUCUGAAAAUAGCAAACAACAGGGUGGUCCUUGUAAUUCAUUUGCAAGGGGGAAGACAGGUCUGUGUCAACAUCAUAGUGGGCUACUGCAGGAUAACAGAGUUCGUGGAGGUGUAUCCUUGGGAUCAGUUGUUCAGAGUACUCAUGCUUGCAAACCAGAUGAACUGAAGCAGAUACACAUUCACAAAGACAUGGAUGUGGAUAUGAUGAAAAUGGAUAAUAGCCCAGGCCCAGCUUGUAAAAUAACUUGUUCUGAUUUUAAACUUAGUGAAGUUGCUAGUACUCAUGUCCCAGCUGGGGAAGAUGACCACGCACCAGUAUCAGUUGCUGUUCCUGAAGGCAGGGUGCAUGGUGGGAGUCUAAUGGCAAUGCUGAAGGGGAGUUCUGGCCUUGGUUCAAGCAGCGGGAGAGGCCUAGUUAGUGAUCCAUCUGAACCAAUUAAAGCUUGCAUUGUGCCCCACAGUUGGAUUUGAAGCUAGUUAUUAUUGCUUUUGCUGUCAUGCUCUCCCUUGGUUGUAAAUUAUAUCAGCAUGUUUACUUCCUUCGAUGUUCGAUUGUUGAUGAUUAGAGUCAUUCUCUGAUUGCAUUCAUCCCUUAAAAUCGAGAGAUUACGUAAGUUGUUCGACAUUCUCAUGGAGAGGCUAUCAAAGCAGCUCAUUGUACUUUGAUUAGGUAAUUGGUGUUUUCUUUCUUUCCUCAUUCCUCCCCCAUCUGUAAAUAUUAUAAUCUGAUAAAAUAUCUAGCAGGUUGUGACUGCAGGUCUGUUAGUGUGCCUUGUAUAUGUUGUUAUAGCGCUUAUGUUAUUUUAGUUCAUGGUUAUUCUUUGGUAACUGCUUGACAGUCUACCUAGGCUGUGGUUCCUCCCCUUUGACAAUUUCUAUUGUUAUCAUAUAUUCUAAUAAGAUUGUGUUGUUUGUUUUCUGUGUUUUCCUGUAAUUCCCUUGAGAUAAGUUUUUGUUGUUUAAUUCUUAAGUUAAUCACUUUUUUUAAGCGGAAAAUGAAAGUUAUUUGUAAUUGUACUGUUGGGGGUACAUUACGAUAUUAAGAUCAGCAAUGUGACUUGGGACCACCUCUAGAUGCACCUAUAUAUAAGUAAAAUUGCCUGACAAACAUAAAUGGCAUUGUUAAUUGAUAAUAUUUAUCUGACAUAUACAUUAAUAUGCUUUAAUUUAAAAUUUUCAUCCAUGUGUGAUGUAUAGAUUCACCAAUAGAAUUUAGGGUCUAUUUGGUGUACUAGAUAAGACUGAUAGGAUGGGAUAGUUUAUCAUAUCCUAUCCUUAUCAUAUGUUUGGUGAUCCAAUGGGAUAGGAUAACCUUAUCAGGUUCAUUCGUUUUAUCCUAUUGACAACCUGAUAAACUAUCUUGAGGGGGACCAUGGGUUACAAUCCUAACGGAUAGGAUAAGAAAAAAUAAAAAAAUUUAUUCCAAGAUAGCCCCUUGCUUCCUCCUCUACCCUGGUCAACUCCCACGCCAACCUUGUCACCGAACAGUCUCGGUCACCAUUGACGGGCUCCGCUUCCGGUUAGCCCGGCCACUAGAACACCUCUCCGGUGUUGGAAACAUCUUUGGAAAAUGGCACCAUUUCACACCCACUACAUCUUUGGAGAUGGAGACAUUGCCGACAACAUCGACGAUGAAAUGAGGAGGGAGAUCAAAGGGCAUUCAGACCUCGAAGCAUUUCUAUGUCAUGGCCUUCUUCACUUCCCCGUUGCUUGGCUUUACGUCGACGGCAGGUUAUGGAAGGAUGCAGAGAUCCGAAUUUCACUUGCUAGUCUUCUGAAGAAGAAUUCAGCUCAGGUUUUUUUAAAAAAAUAAAAAUAAAAAUCGAAGUCCUUUCUUUUCUUUCAUUUUUAGCUUCUGAUUUGUUGCUACAGGUAGAAUCCUUAUGAUAUAUGAACUUACUGCCUGUGAAACUAAGGUCUAAUUUGUCUUUGAGGGUUCAGUAGAAUAUGUGUUUAUAUGAUGGUGUUUGUUCAUAUACUCUCUUAACAGGUUAGUCCUAUUAAAUAUGGCCAUGUGCUGCUGAUUCAUUGUAUUUUCGAGUGUUUGCCCCAAAGGAUUGAUUCAAGGAUAUGUGAGCUCUGGAAGAGAUGUGAGCUGUUAUAUGUGUUCAUUUGCCUGUUAGUAAGGGUGGAACUAGUAUCUAUGGUUCUAAUUUUAAAGAUGAGAGUUUUGCCUGUAUGUCUCUAUUGCUGGUUGGAUAGUAAUAUUUAGUUCUAAUUUUUUAAUAGUGAUUGGUAUUCAAAGUUCAGCUUCAAUCAUUGUUCCAAUAUUAAAUAGUUUAGUUAAUCUUCUGACAUUUCUAGUUUCAACACUUUCCUUGCAGUGAAGCAUAUUGGUCCUAGAGUUUUGAGCAUGGCAAAUGCGGGUCCUAAUACCAAAUGGUAGUCAGUUCUUUAGGAGCUGAUGAUCAACCAGAUAUCUUCAGCUGGGACAACAAAUAUGCUGGUGCACGUCCUUCUCUCAAGGGUGAAUUGCUCAUGUGCCAGCAUUGAAAAAUAUGAAGAGCCAAUUUGUUUUUCUGAUUCAUUGGGUUUCCAUUAUCCUUUUUGAUUGGCAGAGAGCAUUACUGAAUGGUGAUAAGAAACAAGCUGAGAAUUUCAUGUGCAAGAUCUUGCCCAACUCUCCCUUUUUGGCUGAAUAACUAUAAUUUGAUGCUGAUGUCUUUAGUAUUGUCCAAGGUGUUUCUGUGGUUUGGCAGAAGCAACAAGUUAUUGAUAACUAAUCAGCCUUUAGACUAGUGAGGUUGCCAAGGCAUUCUCAGUUAUAUUCAUGGGGGAAGGAUUCCCAUGUUCAAAUUUGUAUUGAUUUUCUCAUUUUCUGGUGAGAUUAUGUGAGAAAUAGGUCUUAUGUAAGAUUUAGGGAAAGUACUGAAAUGAAAGGCUUCUGGCCUUUGUGGAAAGGUAUUUAUCCUUCCUAGAAAAAACGUUUUACUUAAGUGUAUUGGCAUUUGGCAAUUCAGUAAGUUAUCAUAAACUUGUUUGAUAAUUUAGAAGGGUAUUACAUCUCUUAUGUCACAGGAGAUUUUCGAAUUUUGCAGCAGAUAGAUACACAGGGGAGUCCACACUUUUACAAAAACAAAUAGAAAAUUGAAACACUCAUCUCGAUGUCUCAGCGGUAGGAGAGAUGUUUUUCCUGUGAAAUGAGAAUUGUAAACCCCAAUUUAGAAUCCAACUUA